GUAGUCUCGCACAGAUGCAUAUCAAUAAGCGGAGGAAAAGAAACUAACAAGGAUUCCCUCAGUAACGGCGAGUGAAGCGGGAAGAGCUCAAAUUUGAAAUCUUCAAGGUUUUACCUUGACGAAUUGUAGUUUAAAGAAGUGUUUUCUGUUGAAGUUUUGGUAAAAGUUCUUUGGAAUAGGACAUCAUAGAGGGUGAGAAUCCCGUAUUUGACCAUUAUUUUCAGCUGUGUGAUACACUUUCAAAGAGUCGGAUUGUUUGGGAAUGCAGUCCAAAAUGGGUGGUAAAUUUCAUCUAAGCUAAAUAUUGGCGAGAGACCGAUAGCGAACAAGUACCGUGAGGGAAAGAUGAAAAGAACUUUGAAAAGAGAGUUAAACAGUACGUGAAAUUGUCAAAGGGCAGCGUUUGACACCAGUGUUGUUUUCUCGAAAAUCAAUUAAAAAGAGUUAGAUUUUGUUGUGUAUUGACCUUAACAGCUUGCAUUUCAAUUUUCUUGCUUUUUUUAAUGCACUUUUCGUUUAACAAGUCAACAUCAGUUUCUUUUGUUGUAAAAAGGUCAUUGGAAGGUGGCUUUCUUUUCGGAGAAAGUGUUUAUAGCCUUUGACUCCUGCAAUCGGAGAGACUGAGGUCUGCAGCGUAGAUCCUUCGGGGUUAGAUACAUUUGUGCUAAGUUAUAGCUUUUUAUAGACAACUUGUUGACUAUGAUUAGUCUUGUAGCUUACUCGCUUAUGCUAUUUUACCUACGCUUAGGAUGUUGAAGAUGUAGCACAUCAU
This 772-nucleotide ribosomal RNA is filed under the name uncultured Neocallimastigales. RNAcentral's name for it is "partial large subunit ribosomal RNA". It matches the Rfam family "Eukaryotic large subunit ribosomal RNA", at positions 24 to 620 of the family's 3401-position model. Lineage: Eukaryota; Fungi; Neocallimastigomycota; Neocallimastigomycetes; Neocallimastigales. The record is from RNAcentral.